This 681-nucleotide ribosomal RNA is filed under the name Streptomyces sp. YIM 56207. RNAcentral describes it as "bacterial SSU rRNA". It matches the Rfam family "Bacterial small subunit ribosomal RNA", at positions 53 to 750 of the family's 1533-position model. Lineage: Bacteria; Bacillati; Actinomycetota; Actinomycetes; Kitasatosporales; Streptomycetaceae. The record is from RNAcentral.
ACCAUGCAAGUCGAACGAUGAAGCCUUUCGGGGUGGAUUAGUGGCGAACGGGUGAGUAACACGUGGGCAAUCUGCCCUUCACUCUGGGACAAGCCCUGGAAACGGGGUCUAAUACCGGAUAACACUCUGUCCCGCAUGGGACGGGGUUAAAAGCUCCGGCGGUGAAGGAUGAGCCCGCGGCCUAUCAGCUUGUUGGUGGGGUAAUGGCCUACCAAGGCGACGACGGGUAGCCGGCCUGAGAGGGCGACCGGCCACACUGGGACUGAGACACGGCCCAGACUCCUACGGGAGGCAGCAGUGGGGAAUAUUGCACAAUGGGCGAAAGCCUGAUGCAGCGACGCCGCGUGAGGGAUGACGGCCUUCGGGUUGUAAACCUCUUUCAGCAGGGAAGAAGCGAAAGUGACGGUACCUGCAGAAGAAGCGCCGGCUAACUACGUGCCAGCAGCCGCGGUAAUACGUAGGGCGCAAGCGUUGUCCGGAAUUAUUGGGCGUAAAGAGCUCGUAGGCGGCUUGUCACGUCGGAUGUGAAAGCCCGGGGCUUAACCCCGGGUCUGCAUUCGAUACGGGCUAGCUAGAGUGUGGUAGGGGAGAUCGGAAUUCCUGGUGUAGCGGUGAAAUGCGCAGAUAUCAGGAGGAACACCGGUGGCGAAGGCGGAUCUCUGGGCCAUUACUGACGCUGAG